GAACGCUGGCGGUAUGCUUAACACAUGCAAGUCGAACGGGGCUCUUCGGAGUUCAGUGGCGGACGGGUGAGUAACGCGUGAGAAUCUGCCUUCAGGAUGGGGACAACAGCGGAAUCGCUGCUAAAACCCAAUGUGCCGAAAGGUGAAAUAUUAAUAGCCUGAAGAGGAGCUCGCGUCCGAUUAGUUAGUUGGUGGGGUAAAAGCCUACCAAGGCAGCGAUCGGUAGCUGGUCUGAGAGGAUGAGCAGCCACACUGGGACUGAGACACGGCCCAGACUCCUACGGGAGGCAGCAGUGGGGAAUUUUCCGCAAUGGGCGAAAGCCUGACGGACCAAUACCGCGUGAGGGAGGAAGUGUUUUGUGUUGUAAACCUCUUUUUUAAUAGAAAAAGUAAGUGACGGUACUUUAAGAAUCAGCAUCGGCUAACUCCGUGCCAGCAGCCGCGGUAAUACGGAGGAUGCAAGCGUUAUCCGGAAUCAUUGGGCGUAAAGCGUCCGCAGGUGGCUGUUCAAGUCUGCUGUUAAAGACAGAAGCUCAACUUCUGAAAAGCAGUGGAAACUGGACGGCUAGAGUACGGUAGGGGUUGAGGGAAUUCCCAGUGUAGCGGUGAAAUGCGUAGAUAUUGGGAAGAACACCAGUGGCGAAGGCGCUCAACUGGGCCGUAACUGACACUCAGGGACGAAAGCUAGGGUAGCGAAAGGGAUUAGAUACCCCUGUAGUUUAGCCUGUAAACGAUAAACACUAGGCGUUGCUUGUAUCGACCCGAGCAGUGCCGUAGCCAACGCGUUAAGUGUUCCCCCUGGGGAGUACGCACGCAAG
This 818-nucleotide ribosomal RNA is filed under the name uncultured bacterium. RNAcentral's name for it is "bacterial SSU rRNA". It matches the Rfam family "Bacterial small subunit ribosomal RNA", at positions 31 to 892 of the family's 1533-position model. The record is from RNAcentral.